GAUGAACGCUGGCGGCAUGCCUAAUACAUGCAAGUCGAACGAGAGGAAGGAAAGCUUGCUUUUCUGAAUCUAGUGGCGAACGGGUGAGUAACACGUAGGUAACCUGCCCAUGUGCCCGGGAUAACUUCUGGAAACGGAUGCUAAAACCGGAUAGGUAGCAGACAAGCAUUUGACUGCUAUUAAAGUGGCUAAGGCCAUGAACAUGGAUGGACCUGCGGUGCAUUAGCUAGUUGGUGAGGUAACGGCCCACCAAGGCGACGAUGCAUAGCCGGCCGGAGAGGGCGGACUGCCACAUUGGGACUGGGACACGGGCCAAACUCCUACGGGAGGCAGCAGUAGGGAAUUUUCGGCCAUGGGGGGAACCCUGAACGGGCAAUGCCGCGUGAUUGAGGAAGGUCUUCGGAUCGUAAAGCUCUGUUGUAAGAGAAAAACGACAUUCAUAGGGAAUGAUGAGUGAGUGAUGGUAUCUUACCAGAAAGUCACGGCUAACUACGUGCCAGCCGCCGCGGUAA
This 512-nucleotide ribosomal RNA is filed under the name uncultured bacterium. RNAcentral describes it as "partial 16S ribosomal RNA". It matches the Rfam family "Bacterial small subunit ribosomal RNA", at positions 28 to 523 of the family's 1533-position model. The record is from RNAcentral.